GAUGAACGCUGGCGGCGUGCCUAAUACAUGCAAGUCGAGCGAACGGACGAGAAGCUUGCUUCUCUGCUGUUAGCGGCGGACGGGUGAGUAACACGUGGAUAACCUACCUAUAAGACUGGGAUAACUUCGGGAAACCGGAGCUAAUACCGGAUAAUAUUUUGAACCGCAUGGUUCAAAAGUGAAAGCCGGUCUUGCUGACACUAAUAGAUGGAUCCGAGCUGCAUUAGCUAGUUGGUACGGUAACGGCUUACCAAGGCAACGAUGCAUAGCCGACCUGAGAGGGUGAUCAGCCACACUGGAACUGAGACACGGUCCAGACUCCUACGGGAGGCAGCAGUAGGGAAUCUUCCGCAAUGGGCGAAAGCCCGACGGAGCAACGCCGCGUGAGUGAUGAAGGUCUUCGGAUCGUAAAGCUCUGUUAGUAGGGAAGAACAUAAGUGUAAGUAACUGUGCACAUCUUGACGGUACCAAAUCAGAAAGCCACGGCUAACUACGUG
This 497-nucleotide ribosomal RNA is filed under the name uncultured bacterium. RNAcentral's name for it is "partial 16S ribosomal RNA". It matches the Rfam family "Bacterial small subunit ribosomal RNA", at positions 28 to 507 of the family's 1533-position model. The record is from RNAcentral.